GCGCCCGUAGCUCAGGUGGAUAGAGCAUCGGCCUUCUAAGCCGAGGGUCGGGGGUUCGAAUCCCUCCGGGCGCGCCA
Molecule: transfer RNA, 77 nt
Filed under: Candidatus Rokuibacteriota bacterium
Lineage: Bacteria; Candidatus Rokuibacteriota
Also listed under: 3 other names
Description: tRNA-Arg
Rfam family: tRNA
About the family: Transfer RNA (tRNA) molecules are approximately 80 nucleotides in length. Their secondary structure includes four short double-helical elements and three loops (D, anti-codon, and T loops).
Source: RNAcentral